RNAcentral lists this ribosomal RNA (707 nucleotides) under uncultured bacterium. RNAcentral's name for it is "bacterial SSU rRNA". It matches the Rfam family "Bacterial small subunit ribosomal RNA", at positions 32 to 771 of the family's 1533-position model. The record is from RNAcentral.
AACGCUGGCGGCGCGCUUAACACAUGCAAGUCGAGCGAGAAAGGGGAGCAAUCCCUGAGUACAGCGGCGUACGGGUGAGUAACACGUGGGUAAUCUGCCUUUUAGUGGGGAAUAACCCUGGGAAACCGGGGCUAAUACCGCAUAAUCCUGUGAAGGGAAAGCAGCAAUGCGCUGAAAGAGGAGCCCGCGGCCGAUUAGCUAGUUGGUGAGGUAACGGCUCACCAAGGCGGUGAUCGGUAGCCGGCCUGAGAGGGCACACGGCCACACUGGCACUGAAACACGGGCCAGACUCCUACGGGAGGCAGCAGUGGGGAAUCUUGCACAAUGGAGGCAACUCUGAUGCAGCGACGCCGCGUGAGCGACGAAGCCCCUCGGGGUGUAAAGCUCUUUCGGCAGGGACGAUAAUGACGGUACCUGAAGAAGAAGCUGCGGCUAACUACGUGCCAGCAGCCGCGGUAAUACGUAGGCAGCGAGCGUUGUUCGGAAUUACUGGGCGUAAAGAGUGUGUAGGCGGUGUUCCAAGUUCGGUGUGAAAUCUCCCGGCUUAACUGGGAGGGUGCGCCGAAAACUGGAAUGCUCGAGCGUGGGAGAGGAAAGCGGAAUUCCUGGUGUAGCGGUGAAAUGCGUAGAUAUCAGGAGGAACACCAGCGGUGUAGACGGCUUUCUGGACCAUUGCUGACGCUGAGACACGAAAGCGUGGGUAGCAA